UCAGUGGCUGAGGCCUCAACUGUCUCAGUUAGCUAGUUUUUGGUAACUAUUUGUUUUCUUAUUAGAUAUGACUAGUCGCUACUGUUCUGAGCAAAAACCACUUAUGUGUAAUAACUUUUAAUGAAACUAGGGUUUUCAUGCUACAAUCAUUUUAUAAUAAAUUUUUAGAUAAAAAUCACAGACUUUAUGUUCUGCUCUCGGUGCAGUUUAAUAGCCAGCCAUUAUCACUUGUAGAAAAUUACUUUAAGGAAAUACCAUUUGAUCAGUAGUUCAACAAUUGGCCAUAGUGGCUAGCCGUGCAUAGGAAAUCAUACCUUUAUUGGCUAGUUGAUGAUUAAGCACUUCAUUACAUAAAUAAACCGAGGAGAAUAUUUAUGUCAUGCUAUAUUUACUAAGUUUAUACUGAUACAUUAUAUUAUAGAUAUUUCUAUAUUGAUAAAUAUACC
Cinara cedri is the source of this 446-nucleotide non-coding RNA. Lineage: Eukaryota; Metazoa; Arthropoda; Insecta; Hemiptera; Aphididae. The record is from the annotation of a GenBank genome assembly.